AUGAUCCUGAGGGAGGGCUCUUCCCCUUGUCAAACCCGCACCAAGCUCGCUUCUCCCAGGACGGACAGACGCCCAGAUCCCAGUGCUGGAAGGCAACGGCGGCUGCUCUGGGCAGGGGAGGGGAUAGGAGGAGGAAGGGGAGGGGGCCAGCGGAGGAGGAGAAAAGGGAGGAGAUAUCGCACCCCCCCCUCCAGUCCUGGAGAACCCCAGCUCCUCAGGCCAGGCCUGGGAAGGGGAAGUACCGUCCCCCACAACCCCACCCCCAAUCUGUUCUUCAGAGUCAAUACAGAAACAAGGUACACGAGGGUCGCCUUGGUGGGUGUGGGCAGCAGCUCCAGCCCCCGUAGGGAUCUGGGACCUGGCCCUGUGGCUGGCAGAGGCUGCUAACAUCGGGAGAACCAUCUGCCUUAUCUGUGGGACCAAGAGAGAAUGGAGGUGGUGUAGGGGAAAGAGAACCACACCUAUGAGAUCCCCUAAGCAGUUGGCAAGACUGGACGGGGGCAGUGCUCAAAUGCAAAAGCUAUAUCCUCAUUCCAGAACAUGAAAGCAAAUACAUCCCCUAAAGUGUCCCUGAACCCUAGGUUUCCCUCUUCUUUCACAGUCAAUUGACAUGCAGGUUGCAGGAAGGAUGGGAUUUCUGCCAAGGUUCACUUCUUGAAAGUAUUCUUUCAAAGGAGCCUCUCAUUGGUGGUCCUAGGCUUGGAAAAAGAUACCAUCCCUCAGUGAUAACACUGAUGUCCCUGACAACCAGGCAACAGGUUAAGUUUUGGGUUGUAUUUCUGACACACGGAUGAGCCACACUGACCCAUGCACACUCUUUGACCUGGACCUCCUCAUCCCUUUGGAUGCUCAGAAUCCUGCCAGGAGUAUGUAUAGAGUCAAGAUUCAAACCCAGGUCCUCUAACACUGGAGGAUCUCUCCCUUUGGUGAUCUCUGGGUUCAACUGGCAUCUACUUUAACAACAUGAUCAACAGCCCAAUGAUAACAACAAAAUGCCAUAGUGAUGACUUCUUGUUGUUCAGUCAUGUUCCAACUCUUUGUGUCCUCAGUGGAGCAUGCCAGGCCUACUGUCCAUUAGAUUUUCUCGGCAAAGAUACUAGAAUGGUUUGCCAUUUCCUUCUCCGGUGGAUCACCUUUCAUCAGGACUCUCCACUAUGGCCUGUCUUGGGUAGCUCUGCACAUAGCUCAUAGUUCCAUUGAGCCAUGCAAGCCCCUCUGACAUGACAAGGCAGUGAUCCAGGAGGAGGAAGGGAUGAUGACUGUUGUUGUUGUUCAGUCAUUUCAGACUCUCUGUGCUCCCAUUUUGGGGUUUUCUUGGCAGAAAUACUGGUGUGGUUUGCCAUUUCCUUCUCUAGCUCAUUUUACAGAUGGGGAAACUGAGGCAAACAAGGUUAAGUGACUUGCCCAGGGUCACACAGCUGGGAUGUGUUUGAGUCCAGAUUUGAGCUCUGUGCACGAUGGUGCCCCCAGUGGCCCUUUAAAGCCCAAGGGACAAUGACCACAUGAUGACAAAAUAACAGUAUGAUGAUAGCACAAUAACAAUUACACCACGGUACGAUGAUGACAACACCACAAUGAUGACAACAAUGCAACACAAGGAUGGUCAAGAUGCCACUGUGACAGUGCUGACCACAUCACAACAGCAGCGACAGCUCACACUUAUGUAGCACUUCAAGUCUUCCAAGCGUCUUACAUCAUUUCACUGGAUUUCAUGAAUAUUCUCUCAAUCCUCAAAGAUAGUCUGUAGACCUUUUUACACAUUUCAUGUUGAUUUCUCUGUGUGCCUGAUAUUUCCUCCCAGUGACAAAUAGGUUCCUUAGAAGGCAAGACUUGUUUUGUUUCUGUCUUGGCAAUCUCUCAAUACCUAGAACCACACCUGGUCUGGAGUAGGUAUUUUACUUAAAUGUACAAUGUUCUCCUGGUUCUGCUCAUUUCACUCUGCAUCAGUUCAUGUAAGCCUUCCCAGGUUUUUCUGAAAUCUGCCUGCUCAUCAUUUCUUAUAGCACAACAGUAUUCCAUUACAUCCAUGUACCACAACUUGUUCAGCCAUUCCUCAAUCGAUGGGCAUCCCCUCAAUUUCCAGUAAAAUAGAUUACACAAUGUAUAGAAGCAAAUGAACACAGCAACUUAAUGUUUGAUUAACGAAGCUAUUGGGACAAGAGACAAGCUAUUUGACAAAAAAUGCUGGGAAAACUGGAAAGCAGUCUGGCAGAAAUUAGGCAUAGACCAACAUCUGACACCAUGUACUAAGAUAAACUCAAAAUGGGUGCACGAUUUAGACAUAAAAGACGAUAUGAGAAAAUUAGGGAAGUACAGAAAAAAUUACCCAUCAGACCUGUGAAUAGAAGAAGAAUUAAUGAGCAAAUAAGAGGUAAAGAGGGAUAAUUGGAGGUAAAAUGGAUAAUUUUGAUUACAUAAAAUUAAAAAGUUUUUGCACAAACAAAACCCAUACAGUCAAAAUUAGAGGAAAAUCAGGAAAGGGGAGAUUUUUUUAAAUAGCAAAUUUUUCUGAUAAAGAUUUUAUUUAUCAAAUAUAUAGGGAACUGAUCCAAGUUUAUAAAAAAAAAAUAGUCACUCCCCAUUUGAUAAGUGGCCAAAGGAUAUGAAUAGGUGAUUUUCAAAGGAAGAAAUCUAAGCUAUCAAUAAUUACAUAAAAUGCUGUAAGUCAUUAAUAAUCAGAGAAGUGCAAAUUAAAAACAACACUGAGACAUUACCUUAUACCCAUCAGGUUGGCCAAGAUGACAGAAAUGAAAAUGACAAAUGCUGGAGGAGAUGUGGGAAUAUAGGUAUGCUAAUGCACUGUUAGUAGAGAUGUGAACCGGUCCAACGAUUCUGCAGAACAACUUGGAACUAUGCCCAAAGGGCUUUAAAACUGUGCAUACCCUUUGACUAAUCAAUGCCACUACUAGGUCUGUAUCCCAAAGAGAUCAAACUCUCAGAUGUACAAAAAUAUUCAUAGUAACUCUUUUUGUGGUGGCAAAGAAUUGGAAAUCGAGGAGAUACUCUUCAAUUGGGGAAUGGCUCAACAUGUUAUGACAUAUGAAUGUAAUGAUUCCGUCACUAUUUGCUAUAAGAAAUGAUGAAGGGAAUGGCUUCAGGAAAACCUGGGAGGACUUUUUGAAACUGAUCAGAACCAGGAGAGCGAUGGACACAGUAACAACAAUAUUGAAAAGACUGAGCAACUUUGAUCACGAUAAAGAUCCAUGGUAGUUUCAAAGGACUCACGAUACAAAAUGCUAUCCACCUCCAGAUAUAGAACUGCCAGACUCAGAGUGCAGACUGAGACAUAUUUUUUUCUUUAUUUUUCUUGCCUCUUUUCUUUUCUUUUUUAGAACAUGGCUAAUGUGGAAAUAUGUUUUUUCAUGACAUCAUACAUAAAUGGGUAUAUUUCUUGCCUUCUCAAUGGUGGGGGAGGGGGUGGAAGAAGGGAGAGAAUUUGGAACAAAAAAUUAAAAUAAAAAAACAAAAAAAUAUUUGGAGAGUUCA
Molecule: long non-coding RNA, 3486 nt
Filed under: Phascolarctos cinereus (koala)
Lineage: Eukaryota; Metazoa; Chordata; Mammalia; Diprotodontia; Phascolarctidae
Description: lncRNA (ENSPCIG00000018621.2)
Source: RNAcentral